RNAcentral lists this ribosomal RNA (468 nucleotides) under uncultured bacterium. RNAcentral's name for it is "partial 16S ribosomal RNA". It matches the Rfam family "Bacterial small subunit ribosomal RNA", at positions 28 to 507 of the family's 1533-position model. The record is from RNAcentral.
GACGAACGCUGGCGGCGUGCUUAACACAUGCAAGUCGAACGGAAAGGCCCUGCUUUUGUGGGGUGCUCGAGUGGCGAACGGGUGAGUAACACGUGAGUAACCUGCCCUUGACUUUGGGAUAACUUCAGGAAACUGGGGCUAAUACCGGAUAGGAGCUCCUGCUGCAUGGUGGGGGUGGGACAGUUUCGGCGGUUGGGGAUGGACUCGCGGCUUAUCAGCUUGUUGGUGGGGUAGUGGCUUACCAAGGCUUUGACGGGUAGCCGGCCUGAGAGGGUGACCGGCCACAUUGGGACUGAGAUACGGCCCAGACUCCUACGGGAGGCAGCAGUGGGGAAUAUUGCACAAUGGGCGGAAGCCUGAUGCAGCAACGCCGCGUGCGGGAUGACGGCCUUCGGGUUGUAAACCGCUUUCGCCUGUGACGAAGCGUGAGUGACGGUAAUGGGUAAAGAAGCACCGGCUAACUACGUG